Molecule: ribosomal RNA, 253 nt
Filed under: uncultured bacterium
Lineage: Bacteria
Description: partial 16S ribosomal RNA
Rfam family: Bacterial small subunit ribosomal RNA
Source: RNAcentral
UACGUAGGGUGCGAGCGUUAAUCGGAAUUACUGGGCGUAAAGCGUGCGCAGGCGGUUUUGUAAGUCAGAUGUGAAAUCCCCGGGCUUAACCUGGGAAUGGCAUUUGGGACUGCAAGGCUUGAGUGCGGCAGAGGAGACUGGAAUUCCUGGUGUAGCAGUGAAAUGCGUAGAUAUCAGGAGGAAUACCGAUGGCGAAGGCAGGUCUCUGGACAGUUCCUGACACUGAGGAGCGAAAGCCAGGGGAGCAAACGGG